RNAcentral lists this ribosomal RNA (721 nucleotides) under uncultured bacterium. RNAcentral describes it as "bacterial SSU rRNA". It matches the Rfam family "Bacterial small subunit ribosomal RNA", at positions 8 to 712 of the family's 1533-position model. The record is from RNAcentral.
AGAGUUUGAUCCUGGCUCAGAUUGAACGCUGGCGGCAUGCCUUACACAUGCAAGUCGAACGGUAACAGGUCUUCGGACGCUGACGAGUGGCGAACGGGUGAGUAAUACAUCGGAACGUGCCCAGUCGUGGGGGAUAACUACUCGAAAGAGUAGCUAAUACCGCAUACGAUCUGAGGAUGAAAGCGGGGGACCUUCGGGCCUCGCGCGAUUGGAGCGGCCGAUGGCAGAUUAGGUAGUUGGUGGGAUAAAAGCUUACCAAGCCGACGAUCUGUAGCUGGUCUGAGAGGACGACCAGCCACACUGGGACUGAGACACGGCCCAGACUCCUACGGGAGGCAGCAGUGGGGAAUUUUGGACAAUGGGCGAAAGCCUGAUCCAGCAAUGCCGCGUGCAGGAUGAAGGCCUUCGGGUUGUAAACUGCUUUUGUACGGAACGAAAAAGCUUCUCCUAAUACGAGAGGCCCAUGACGGUACCGUAAGAAUAAGCACCGGCUAACUACGUGCCAGCAGCCCGCGGUAAUACGUAGGGUGCGAGCGUUAAUCGGGAAUUACUGGGCGUAAAGCCGUGCGCAGGCGGGUUAUGUAAGACAGAUGUGAAAUCCCCCGGGCUCAACCUGGGAACCUGCAUUUUGUGACUGCAUGGCUAGAGUACGGUACAGGGGGGAUGGGAAAUCCGCCGUGUAACAGUGAAACUGCAUAAAAUUUUGCGGGAAGGAAACUCC